CAAGUCGAACGAUGAACUCCAGCUUGCUGGGGGGAUUAGUGGCGAACGGGUGAGUAACACGUGAGUAACCUGCCCUGGACUCUGGGAUAACCCCGAGAAAUCGGAGCUAAUACCGGAUAGGACCUGGAACCGCAUGGUUUUGGGUGGAAAGUUUUUCGGUCUGGGAUGGACUCGCGGCCUAUCAGCUUGUUGGUGAGGUAAUGGCUCACCAAGGCGUCGACGGGUAGCCGGCCUGAGAGGGUGACCGGCCACACUGGGACUGAGACACGGCCCAGACUCCUACGGGAGGCAGCAGUGGGGAAUAUUGCACAAUGGGCGCAAGCCUGAUGCAGCAACGCCGCGUGCGGGAUGACGGCCUUCGGGUUGUAAACCGCUUUUAGUAAGGAAGAAGGGGAGCUUGCUCCUUGACGGUACUUGCAGAAAAAGGACCGGCUAACUACGUGCCAGCAGCCGCGGUAAUACGUAGGGUCCGAGCGUUGUCCGGAAUUAUUGGGCGUAAAGAGCUCGUAGGCGGUUUGUCGCGUCUGCUGUGAAAUCCCGAGGCUCAACCUCGGGUCUGCAGUGGGUACGGGCAGACUGGAGUGCGGUAGGGGAGAAUGGAAUUCCUGGUGUAGCGGUGGAAUGCGCAGAUAUCAGGAGGAACACCGAUGGCGAAGGCAGUUCUCUGGGCCGUAACUGACGCUGAGGAGCGAAAGCGUGGGGAGCGAACAGGAUUAGAUACCCUGGUAGUCCACGCCGUAAACGUUGGGCGCUAGAUGUGGGGACCUUUCCACGGUUUCCGUGUCGUAGCUAACGCAUUAAGCGCCCCGCCUGGGGAGUACGGCCGCAAGGCUAAAACUCAAAGGAAUUGACGGGGGCCCGCACAAGCGGCGGAGCAUGCGGAUUAAUUCGAUGCAACGCGAAGAACCUUACCAAGGCUUGACAUAACCGAGAACGCCGCAGAAAUGUGGAACUCUUUGGACACUCGGUUACAGGUGUUGCAUGGAUGUCGUCAGCUCGUGUCGUGAGAUGUUGGGUUAAGU
This 1022-nucleotide ribosomal RNA is filed under the name Agromyces sp. 1_102. RNAcentral's name for it is "bacterial SSU rRNA". It matches the Rfam family "Bacterial small subunit ribosomal RNA", at positions 58 to 1085 of the family's 1533-position model. Lineage: Bacteria; Bacillati; Actinomycetota; Actinomycetes; Micrococcales; Microbacteriaceae. The record is from RNAcentral.